This 465-nucleotide ribosomal RNA is filed under the name uncultured bacterium. RNAcentral describes it as "partial 16S ribosomal RNA". It matches the Rfam family "Bacterial small subunit ribosomal RNA", at positions 28 to 507 of the family's 1533-position model. The record is from RNAcentral.
GACGAACGCUGGCGGCGUGCUUAACACAUGCAAGUCGAACGGAAAGGCCCUGCUUGCAGGGUACUCGAGUGGCGAACGGGUGAGUAACACGUGGGUGAUCUGCCCUGCACUUCGGGAUAAGCCUGGGAAACUGGGUCUAAUACCGGAUAGGAGCCAUUUUUAGUGUGAUGGGUGGAAAGUUUUUUCGGUGUAGGAUGAGCUCGCGGCCUAUCAGCUUGUUGGUGGGGUAAUGGCCUACCAAGGCGGCGACGGGUAGCCGGCCUGAGAGGGUGGACGGCCACAUUGGGACUGAGAUACGGCCCAGACUCCUACGGGAGGCAGCAGUGGGGAAUAUUGCACAAUGGGCGCAAGCCUGAUGCAGCGACGCCGCGUGGGGGAUGACGGCCUUCGGGUUGUAAACUCCUUUCGCUAGGGACGAAGCUUUUUGUGACGGUACCUAGAUAAGAAGCACCGGCUAACUACGUG